RNAcentral lists this ribosomal RNA (253 nucleotides) under uncultured bacterium. Its description in RNAcentral is "partial 16S ribosomal RNA". It matches the Rfam family "Bacterial small subunit ribosomal RNA", at positions 524 to 776 of the family's 1533-position model. The record is from RNAcentral.
UACAGAGGUGGCAAGCGUUGUUCGGAAUUACUGGGCGUAAAGGGCGCGUAGGCGGCUUUUUAAGUCAGACGUGAAAUCCCCCGGCUUAACCUGGGAACUGCGUCUGAUACUGGGAAGCUUGAGUUCGGGAGAGGGAUGUAGAAUUCCAGGUGUAGCGGUGAAAUGCGUAGAUAUCUGGAGGAAUACCGGUGGCGAAGGCGGAUCUCUGGGCCUUACCUGACGCUGAGGCGCGAAAGCUAGGGGAGCGAACAGG